Molecule: long non-coding RNA, 1129 nt
Filed under: Podarcis muralis (Common wall lizard)
Lineage: Eukaryota; Metazoa; Chordata; Lepidosauria; Squamata; Lacertidae
Description: lncRNA (ENSPMRG00000007243.1)
Source: RNAcentral
AUGCAAAGAGCUCCUGAAGACAAAGAGACUCUUCGGGUUUCCUCAAGAAAUGAAGAUAAUAAUCAAAGCACCUCGGAAUGCAACUCACAAGAUGUUGGCAAGACUUGCUUAGGAAACCAGAACAAUUCAACCUCUCUUCAGCUAAAGGUGGCAGAAACAGACCCAGAUAUGCAGAAGUCACACAGUCCUCCAUGGAUGAAACCAGAAAUUAAAAAAUCAACAGAGAGAAAAGAAAACAACCCUGAAGCAUUGGCUAAAAUCAAGGGAAAGACUCUGUAAACAUCACCCAGCUCUCUUUAAAACGUUCUUCAUUUGCUAUCGUCUUCAUCUUUUUAGUCCAGAGGCAUGAAAAUGUACCAGGUUUCUAAAGCAUGCAAUUUUUUCACUAUUUUAUGGAUGUUUGUAAAUUAGUCUAGAGAUUUCUGAAAUAGAUUGAUUAGUAUCUUUCAGCAAUAAUCCAAGAGAAAUGGAUGUUUGGAAAAAAAAUGCUUUGUAAUACAGUCCAGUUUUUUGAAAUAUUAUUCUGCCCUGAUCUGUAACUUGCUUAUUAUAAAUCACUCUGUUUUGUAAAGAAAUGCUAUUAAGAAUUUUUAUUUUAUUAACCAAUCCUGUUUCAUAAGUAUCAUUAUUGCAUAUCGAGGUCGACAAGUAACUUUGCACACACAUCCACACAUUCAAUCUGAUAAGACGGAUUUGGCAAGGUGCCUGAAACUCAGUAGGGAUGGUGCUUGUCUAACUUCUUGAGGGAGAAAGUUCCCUAGAGUUGGGAAAACCACACUGAAGCCGUGACUCCUUGCUGCUUUGGGUCCAUAGGGAGCGACUAACUGCUCCUCCUGAUGGUCUCAGUGAUCGACACGGAGUGAACAGGAUAAGGUGGUCCUUAAAGUAUCCUGGGCUUGUUAUUCAGGGCUGUGUAGACUACUAUAAGAAUUGUAUUGAAGGGGAAUACUCUAGCUGAGUCUUAUCCCUGAGAUGCUAAUUUGCCAAAUGAUGCUGGAGGACAUUCCUCUGUCUUGCCAUCCCAUGAGAACCUGCACAAUCAUCCCUACACUUAAACUACUGUUCAAAGGAUAUAAUGGACUACUUAAAGGUUUGGGGGCUUCUUAUCCUCUUAAUCAGGCAAUGUAGA